UAAAGUUGGAUAUUAAAAACAAUAGUUCUAAAUCCAAAAAAUUUGGCGGUGUUUUAAUAAAUCAAGGGAACUUGCAUUUUAAAUCGAUAGUCCACGAUUAUCUUACUUUUAUUUGAAAUUCAGUUAGUGUAUUGCCGUAUUUAUAUAAGUUUAUAAUUAUAUAUAAAAAAGAUAAUAUAUCUUUUACAACAGGUCAAAAUGCAGCUUAUGUAAAAGGAUUUAGUGAGUUACAAUAUUAAUAUAAUAUGAAUUAUUAAUAAUUAAUAUUAUUUGAAAAUGGACUUGAUAGUAAUUAUAAAAAUUAAUGAAAUAACCUUUAAAAUAUGU
This 327-nucleotide ribosomal RNA is filed under the name Johanssonia arctica. RNAcentral's name for it is "partial 12S ribosomal RNA". Lineage: Eukaryota; Metazoa; Annelida; Clitellata; Hirudinida; Piscicolidae. The record is from RNAcentral.